GGGAAGGUGGCUCAGUGGGAGAGUGCUUGCUUUGCAUGCAUGAGGCCGUGGGUUCGAUUCCUCAGUACCA
RNAcentral lists this transfer RNA (70 nucleotides) under Dipodomys ordii (Ord's kangaroo rat). It matches the Rfam family "tRNA". From Rfam's summary of the family: Transfer RNA (tRNA) molecules are approximately 80 nucleotides in length. Their secondary structure includes four short double-helical elements and three loops (D, anti-codon, and T loops). Further hydrogen bonds mediate the characteristic L-shaped molecular structure. tRNAs have two regions of fundamental functional importance: the anti-codon, which is responsible for specific mRNA codon recognition, and the 3' end, to which the tRNAs corresponding amino acid is attached (by aminoacyl-tRNA synthetases). tRNAs cope with the degeneracy of the genetic code in two manners: having more than one tRNA (with a specific anti-codon) for a particular amino acid; and 'wobble' base-pairing, i.e. permitting non-standard base-pairing at the 3rd anti-codon position. The record is from Rfam by way of RNAcentral. Lineage: Eukaryota; Metazoa; Chordata; Mammalia; Rodentia; Heteromyidae.